This 207-nucleotide long non-coding RNA is filed under the name Elaeis guineensis (African oil palm). Its description in RNAcentral is "long non-coding RNA (EGUI_LNC047487)". The record is from RNAcentral. Lineage: Eukaryota; Viridiplantae; Streptophyta; Magnoliopsida; Arecales; Arecaceae.
CUUGCAUGAUUGAUAUGAUCAAUCAUACUUAAAAUAAGAUGUUGUAUUUAUUCAUAUCAUAUGAUCCUAAUUAGAUAGUUUCUAGAUCAGAUCUAGGGCAUGCAAAUACAAUAAAAUGUUUAAUCUGUAGCCUUUCACUAUAAUUUUUGAAAAUAUAUGCUUUGAACUGUCGAUUUUUUCUUCAAGUGAUAUUAGAGUCACAUUUCU